AGUUCUUGUAGCACUUAUCCCUUUGAAUUAAUACAUUGUGAUUUAUGGACCUCUCCCAUUGCAAGUGUUUCGGGUUUUAAAUACUACCUUGUUAUCCUAGAUGAUUUCACCCACUUUGUCUGGACUUUUCCUCUACGCAACAAAUCCGAGGUCCAUUCUCUUUUCCUUAAUUUUCAACGCUAUGUGUCUGUUCACUUCUUCCUCCCAAUUCGCUUUAUCCAAUGUGACAAUGGUCGCGAGUUUGAUAACAUUAAAAAUCAUACUUUCUUCUUACAACAUGGAAUCCUGCUUAGGUUCUCAUGUCCCUACACCUCCCCUCAAAAUGGUAAAGCAGAACGCUCUCUUCGCACCCUCAAUGAUAUAGUUCGCACUCUCCUCAUUCAAUCAUCUAUGCCUCCCAAGUUUUGGGCUGAAGCCCUACACAUGGCCACCUUCCUUCUAAAUAUUCGACCUUCUAAAACUAAACCCAACACUACUCCCUAUUAUUCCCUCUUUCUUUCCCACCCCGACUACUCCGCGGUUCGUGUUUUCGGCUGUCUCUGUUUUCCCAAUUCCUACGCCACUUCUGCAAAUAAAUUGUCACCACGCUCUAUCCCAUGUGCUUUUCUCGGCUUCUCUGACGAGCAUAAAGGCUAUCGCUGUCUCGACCUUCACACCGGACACGUUCAUGUGUCUCGUCAUGUCACGUUUGCUGAGCACAUUUUUCCUUUCUCACAACGCACUACUACACCACCCAACACCCCUAGCUCCGCAAACACCCCCUCUCCCCGUCCUUUCCAACUAUAUACUCCCCUACCUGCCGAACACAACUUAUCACCACCACCAUUAACACCCACCAUAGCCAAUCCC
This 849-nucleotide ribosomal RNA is filed under the name Triticum aestivum (bread wheat). Its description in RNAcentral is "partial small subunit ribosomal RNA". The record is from RNAcentral. Lineage: Eukaryota; Viridiplantae; Streptophyta; Magnoliopsida; Poales; Poaceae.